This 505-nucleotide ribosomal RNA is filed under the name uncultured bacterium. RNAcentral describes it as "partial 16S ribosomal RNA". It matches the Rfam family "Bacterial small subunit ribosomal RNA", at positions 28 to 507 of the family's 1533-position model. The record is from RNAcentral.
GACGAACGCUGGCGGCGUGCCUAAUACAUGCAAGUAGAACGCACAGUUUAUACCGUAGCUUGCUACACCAUAGACUGUGAGUUGCGAACGGGUGAGUAACGCUUAGGUAACCUGCCUGGUAGCGGGGGAUAACUAUUGGAAACGAUAGCUAAUACCGCAUAAUAUUUAUUAUUGCAUGAUAAUUAAUUGAAAGGUGCAAUUGCACCACUACCAGAUGGACCUGCGUUGUAUUAGCUAGUAGGUGAGGUAACGGCUCACCUAGGCGACGAUACAUAGCCGACCUGAGAGGGUGAUCGGCCACACUGGGACUGAGACACGGCCCAGACUCCUACGGGAGGCAGCAGUAGGGAAUCUUCGGCAAUGGACGAAAGUCUGACCGAGCAACGCCGCGUGAGUGAAGAAGGUUUUCGGAUCGUAAAGCUCUGUUGUAAGAGAAGAACGGGUGUGAGAGUGGAAAGUUCACACUGUGACGGUAUCUUACCAGAAAGGGACGGCUAACUACGUG